This 494-nucleotide ribosomal RNA is filed under the name uncultured bacterium. Its description in RNAcentral is "bacterial SSU rRNA". It matches the Rfam family "Bacterial small subunit ribosomal RNA", at positions 30 to 521 of the family's 1533-position model. The record is from RNAcentral.
AUUGAACGCUGGCGGAAUGCUUUACACAUGCAAGUCGAACGGUAGAGGGGGCAACCCCUUGAGAGUGGCGAACGGGUGAGUAAUAUAUCGGAACGUGCCCAGUCGUGGGGAUAACGUAGCGAAAGUUACGCUAAUACCGCAUACGAUCUACGGAUGAAAGCGGGGGACUCGCAAGAGCCUCGCGCGAUUGGAGCGGCCGAUAUCAGAUUAGGUAGUUGGUGGGGUAAAGGCUCACCAAGCCAACGAUCUGUAGCUGGUCUGAGAGGACGACCAGCCACACUGGAACUGAGACACGGUCCAGACUCCUACGGGAGGCAGCAGUGGGGAAUUUUGGACAAUGGACGCAAGUCUGAUCCAGCCAUUCCGCGUGCAGGAUGAAGGCCCUCGGGUUGUAAACUGCUUUUGUACGGAACGAAAAGGUUUCUAUUAAUACUAGGAGCUCAUGACGGUACCGUAAGAUAAGCACCGGCUAACUACGUGCCAGCAGCCGCGGU